This 334-nucleotide unclassified non-coding RNA is filed under the name soil metagenome. RNAcentral's name for it is "partial contains 5.8S ribosomal RNA, internal transcribed spacer 2, and large subunit ribosomal RNA". The stretch from base 1 to 120 matches the Rfam family "5.8S ribosomal RNA", at positions 35 to 154 of the family's 154-position model. The record is from RNAcentral.
GAUGAAGAACGUAGCGAAAUGCGAUACGUAAUGUGAAUUGCAGAAUUCAGUGAAUCAUCGAAUCUUUGAACGCACAUUGCGCCCGCCAGCACUCUGGCGGGCAUGCCUGUUCGAGCGUCAUUUCAACCAUCAAGCCCCAGGCUUGCGUUGGAGCCCUGCGGCUGCCGCAGCCUCCUAAAAGCAGUGGCGGGCUCGCUAUCACACCGAGUGCAGUAGUUUACUCUUCGCUCAGGGCGUGCAGCGGGUUCCGGCCGUGAAACCCCCUACUUUUAAAGGUUGACCUCGGAUCAGGUAGGAAUACCCGCUGAACUUAAGCAUAUCAAUAAGCGGAGGA